CCGCCGCCACCCGCCGACGGCCGCGCCGCUGGACGACGAGGACCUCCUCGGGGAGAUCCUCCUCCGCGUCCCCCCGCUGCCCUCCUCGCUCCUCCGCGCCUCCCUCGUCUCCAAGCUAUGCGGAGGCGUCGCCACCGCCCCCUCCUUCAGCCACCGCUUCGUCGCCCACCACCGGAGGCCCCCCGUCCUCGGUUUCUUCGAGAAGGGCGACGGGGAGCUGGUCUUCACACCCAUCCUCGACCCCCCUGCUUCCGUGACGUCGCCUCCAAUAUUGCAAAGGCUCUCCGCUCCAAAUUUGUUUUGAACAUCUUCUUCAAUGUGGCAAAAUCAAUUGCUUGGUGCAGUUCCAGUUUAUGUUUACUAUCCAAUAGUAAUUUCUAAGAGGAUACAUCUCAAGCAGGGGAUGUCCUUCCACAUAGUUACUUUACUGUGAUCAUCAUUGUAUAAUGAUUGUGUUGGUGUAUCUGUUUCUCUGAUGCUUGGAAACAUUGAGGAGGGGAUGUCUGUCCAAAAUAGAUGGUUAGUUGUACAGACAGAUUUAUAUUUACUUGGAAUGCAAGUAUAAAAUUGAGAUUAUUACCGUAAGUCAUGACUUGUGGCUGCUCUAGAGGCUGAGUGUUUUCGUUGCAGGUUUCCGUCAUGGAUUCAUCUUCUUUUGAUGAUACAGAAAUAGCUUGCUUAUGUCUUCUUGUGAAUUCUUCGUUACGACGGUGUAGCAACGCUUGCCUUUCUCCCGCUGCCACAUGAUCCCUGUGUUUUACAGUAAAUGUAGAAGUGCUCUCCUCCUGUUCAGUUACGACAUAUUCAGGGUUCUCCAUUGCUAUUGAAUCUUUGGAUGAUGUGUUGCGUUUCGAUUGACGGUGAGCUUCAAUUUGUUCCAUUCUUGCUUUCUUCUUUUCUAUUUGCAUAUUUGCAUAUCUUUUUUUUUCUUGUGCACAUUUUGCCGCCUUCUGUUCUGGUGUCUGUUCUGGUGUCUUUCCUGAUACUUUGUUUCGUUGAUAGGCUUCACGGCGUUUUUUGAGUUUCUCAUGCCUUUCUUCAUCGGUCAUGUGUUCAUACCGCUCUCUAUCCCUCUUUCUUUUUUUUCCUUAGCAUCCAUGAUUUGAGAUUAUGGUCCAAAUGUUUUCCUGCAGGAUGGAAGGAAAUUUUUUGUAAUGCAAUACAAGAUAAUUUGUUGCUAGACUGGCCUGGAAUGUGAAGUCAAUAUGUAUCGGAUGAGCAUCCUGGCAUGUGAGAUGCAUGAAACAUGGUAUUUUUUUACUGGACAUCAAACAUAGGACUGAUGAGUAUCAAAUACCAUGUGUGAGAUUCAAGAAUUCAUUGGGAAGAACGAAAACGGGAGACAAGGAACAUACUUGACUGCUCCUUUGUUUUGGUUGGCGCUGUAGCUUGGAGAUUGCUUGGCGUGUACUUAGCUGGUGGCACUUUUUUCUCUGGGCGUUCAAUCUCUGAGAGCUGGGUAUUUAUAUUAGUAUAGAACCUUUGCCAGUCCGAGUUGGUGUAUGGUUCCCGAUUGGUUCCAUGUCCGAGUCCAAGUUGGUGUAUGUUUUCCAUGUCCGAGUCCAAGUUGGUGUAUGCUUCUGAUUGUAUUUUUCUCUUCCACGUCCAAUCCAGUAUAGUAGGUUGGAGUAUGUUUUGAUAUUUGUUAUAAAUUUACUUUUUUC
RNA transcript from Triticum aestivum (bread wheat), 1664 nucleotides. RefSeq lists it as uncharacterized. The transcript is spliced from 4 exons. NCBI's taxonomy places the organism in Eukaryota, Viridiplantae, Streptophyta, Magnoliopsida, Poales, Poaceae. The record is from RefSeq and is a predicted model, not a curated record.